Colias croceus (clouded yellow) is the source of this 1081-nucleotide long non-coding RNA. RefSeq lists it as uncharacterized. The record is from RefSeq and is a predicted model, not a curated record. The transcript is spliced from 2 exons. Lineage: Eukaryota; Metazoa; Arthropoda; Insecta; Lepidoptera; Pieridae.
GCACACUUAAAACAUAAGUGGCACUAUACAAAAAAAUUCAUUUUUGAGUUAAGUAUGCAGUCAAAAGGCAUAAAACGAAACGCGCCUAACGCAAAGAUCCCGGUAGCUCUAAUGCGUCAAAUUUUUGCUAGAUGUCGCUAGUGUCACUUAUGAAUUUGUCACAAUUUGUCCGGUCGGUAAUUGAUAAACCGGCACUAUGCCAUUUCGCGUCAAGUCUCCGGUGGAAAUCCUUGUCGAGGCUUUUUGUAUUAUACUAUCAUGGAUCCGAAAAGAAGUAGAUGUAGAAGUAUAAUAGAAUUAUCAACUCAGAACAAUCAAAGAAAAAAAGAAAAUGAUGACGAUGAUGGAUCUCAAAUUACUAAGCCUGCUUCUAAAAGAAAUUCCGAUAUUGUUGAACCGCUUUCAACAAUGAGUGCGUCCGAUUUGAACAUCAUGAGAAGUUCAUCCUUUAAGCUCUUAUCACAACCAAACUAACACUGACGAUGGUAACUUUUUUCUCGCCUCAGACGAUGACAGAACAAACUUUCCAUCAAAUAAAAAAUGCAGGAGAUCAAACUCAAACUCGUCGUCAUCGUCUUCGUCGUCCAGCUCGUUCUCAUCUUCGUCCUCAAGCACAUCAUCCAGUUCAGCUUCAGCUUUGUCUAUACAAAGGCCAUAACCUAACCCAACAAAUUACUCAAAGUAGGUACUAUAGACACACGUAAUAAUUUCGACCCUUCUAAUCCGGAUGACGAAACAGAGAACCCAAAAUGUAAAGUAAAAGGAAUGACCAAAUGCAAAAAUUGAUGACAUUUCCUUCACUCAGAUUGUUGAAGUUUCUAAUAAUCAUCAAAUAAGUGAUCAUCUUCCUGCUGAUUCGAAUCUUAAAAAUAGUCUUGCUCCGAAUGAUGGUUAUCUUGUCGCCUCUUCCAACCCUGCUGAUAACGUCGAAAUCAUACAUUUUAAUACAAAUGACACAGGAACGAUGAACGAUACUGCAAAAGAAGCUCCAACUCAGCCAGUUGAUGCAAUUACAAGAAAACGAAAAAGAAUAAGAUCGUUACAUACUACAAAUAUUGUGAAGAUACUAAUAAAUACAGGC